GGCAGAUGAAUAACCAUCAUUUAACAAUAUUCCCUAUUUUAAAAGGCUGAAGCUCUAAAUUUAUAUUGUAUAUUCAAUAAAUUAUGACCCAAGGAUCACUUGCUAACUCCAAGAAUUAGCUAAUCAAUAUGUGAAAUUUAUUUCAGAAAAUUAUCCAACAAGAGAGGGCAUAAUUUAGUUGACACGCAAUAAUUUUUUUAUUUAUUUCCUCUUCUGGGAAACAUGGUACACGUAAAUAGAUAAAGAAAAUCUCUUGUAAAUCUCAAGAGAUCAUAUCAAUUGAACAUAAACGAACUAACACUCGCACGAUUGAUAGGUAAAGCAAUACCCAUAUUUUUAUUCAGUUAAACACAACAGAAAAUAAUAACAUUUUAAUUAACCAGUGCGGUCGGCAUUUCUCCCAUAUUGAGGGACAACAAGAAAAUCAAGAUCCUCGUUCGCAAUGCCAUCGUCUGAAAUGCUGAGAAGAGGAAAUAGUGCAACGACCCCCUCCGACCAACUUUUAUCUCCUGAAAAUUUAUAAUAGAAAACUUUGUCGUAAGUAUACAUUUCAAAAUUAUAAGAAUCGUAAUUCAACUGAAAAUGGCCUAAAAACCUGCGCAAGUAGUUUCCAUAUUCUUCAAAUCGAAAAGAUCUCUGCUUCGGUAGUCAAAACUCAAGAAGUAAUCAAGUUGCUUCUGCGAGUUUUCGCUAUUUGUGAAAUACACAUAUAUGGUCUAUGUAUAUAUAGACUGAAGUAGUCGACAAUAGGGCCAUGGUGGGUGAUUGGGGCGCAUUUAAUUAUUUACAAGACGAACUAACAGCAUUACAUAAUAUCGUCUUUUCUUUGAAAAUGCUCUGUUGUUUUCUGAAACAUUUUUUAAUGGCUCAGAAGCAUCUCAUGGCAGAUAAUUGAAGAUCUGUAGUCGGUGCUGGACUCGACAAACAUAUUCCUUUAAUUUGC
Molecule: long non-coding RNA, 943 nt
Filed under: Citrus maxima (pomelo)
Lineage: Eukaryota; Viridiplantae; Streptophyta; Magnoliopsida; Sapindales; Rutaceae
Description: long non-coding RNA (CMAX_LNC001380)
Source: RNAcentral